GCCCAUUUGGCUCAGUGGAUAGAGUGUCAGCCUUCGGACUGAAGGGUCCCAGGUUCGAUUCCGGUCAAGGGGCA
RNAcentral lists this transfer RNA (74 nucleotides) under Myotis brandtii (Brandt's bat). It matches the Rfam family "tRNA". Rfam says of the family: Transfer RNA (tRNA) molecules are approximately 80 nucleotides in length. The record is from Rfam by way of RNAcentral. Lineage: Eukaryota; Metazoa; Chordata; Mammalia; Chiroptera; Vespertilionidae.